GUGCCAGCCGCCGCGGUAAGACAGAGGUGGCGAGCGUUGUUCGGAAUCACUGGGCUUAAAGGGCGCGUAGGUGGUAGUGUAAGUCUGAGGUGGAAUCCUACGGCUUAACCGUAGAACUGCCUUGGAAACUGCAUUACUUGAGUCAGUGAGGGGAGGGUAGAAUUCCCGGUGUAGCGGUGAAAUGCGUAGAUAUCGGGAGGAAGGCCGGUGGCGAAGGCGGCCCUCUGGCGCUGAACUGACACUGAGGCGCGAAAGCGUGGGGAGCAAACAGGAUUAGAUACCCCCGUAGUCC
This 292-nucleotide ribosomal RNA is filed under the name uncultured bacterium. RNAcentral describes it as "partial 16S ribosomal RNA". It matches the Rfam family "Bacterial small subunit ribosomal RNA", at positions 505 to 796 of the family's 1533-position model. The record is from RNAcentral.